RNAcentral lists this ribosomal RNA (440 nucleotides) under uncultured bacterium. Its description in RNAcentral is "partial 16S ribosomal RNA". It matches the Rfam family "Bacterial small subunit ribosomal RNA", at positions 338 to 795 of the family's 1533-position model. The record is from RNAcentral.
CCUACGGGUGGCAGCAGUGGGGAAUAUUGCACAAUGGGGUAAACCCUGAUGCAGCGACGCCGCGUGAGUGAAGAAGUAUCUCGGUACGUAAAGCUCUAUCAGCAGGGAAGAAAAUGACGGUACCUGACUAAGAAGCCCCGGCUAACUACGUGCCAGCAGCCGCGGUAAUACGGAGGGGGCAAGCGUUAUCCGGAUUUACUGGGGGUAAAGGGAGCGUAGACGGCAGCACAACUCUGGAGUGAAAUCCCGGGGCUUAACCCCGGAACUGCUUUGGAAACUGUGCGGCUGGAGUGCAGGAGGGGUAAGCGGAAUUCCUAGUGUAGCGGUGAAAUGCGUAGAUAGUAGGAGGAACACCGGUGGCGAAGGCGGCAUACCGGCGCCCGACUGACGCUGAGGCACGAAAGCGUGGGGAUCGAACAGGAUUAGAUACCCUUGUAGUC